GUAGCUCUCUAGCAAUGGUCCCUAGCAGAAAAGGAGGCACAGAGAUGCAGAUGGAGAAUUCAGAGCAUGGAUUGCAGGCAAGUUCAGUGCAAUUCAAGGAGCCCCACAUACCAAUGCUGAGAUUUGAAGAGCUAAGCUGCUAGGAUGCACCCUCUUUGUCUAUUCACAGCUCAAAUCCUAUAAAAGACUAUAUCCAAGAGUACCAGAAAAACAGGACAUUUCCAAUAAAGUGGAGAUGGUGCAUGAAUAACAGGGGGUGACGUUCUGCAGUUCUGGAGGCUGGAAUUCCUAGACCAGAGUGUCAGCACAGUCAACUUCUGGAUAGGAGCUGAAUUUCCUACAUUCGAACUACCACUCUUUACUUGAUCUUAGCCAAAAGGCUUAGAGAUGAUCUCUCCAAACCGCUCUUGUCAGAAUCUGCCUGGGUGAGCCUUUUUGAAAUAUAUCUCCUCGGCUCCUUCUCUCCUCUAGACACCAACCGUUUAUUCUUAAGGCCUGGGCCCAAAGCUCUCAUCUGUUCUGUAUUCUGUUAUUUAAUAUCCACAAGGCUUCAUUGCUAAAUAUUCUACUUGUUCCCUACCAUCAAG
This 587-nucleotide long non-coding RNA is filed under the name Homo sapiens (human). RNAcentral's name for it is "long non-coding RNA NONHSAT165553.1". The record is from RNAcentral. Lineage: Eukaryota; Metazoa; Chordata; Mammalia; Primates; Hominidae.